AGCGUACACGGUGGAUGCCCUGGCAGUCAGAGGCGAUGAAGGACGUGCUAAUCUGCGAUAAGCGUCGGUAAGGUGAUAUGAACCGUUAUAACCGGCGAUUUCCGAAUGGGGAAACCCAGUGUGAUUCGUCACACUAUCAUUAACUGAAUCCAUAGGUUAAUGAGGCGAACCGGGGGAACUGAAACAUCUAAGUACCCCGAGGAAAAGAAAUCAACCGAGAUUCCCCCAGUAGCGGCGAGCGAACGGGGAGCAGCCCAGAGCCUGAAUCAGUGUGUGUGUUAGUGGAAGCGUCUGGAAAGGCGCGCGAUACAGGGUGACAGCCCCGUACACAAAAAUGCACAUGCUGUGAGCUCGAUGAGUAGGGCGGGACACGUGGUAUCCUGUCUGAAUAUGGGGGGACCAUCCUCCAAGGCUAAAUACUCCUGACUGACCGAUAGUGAACCAGUACCGUGAGGGAAAGGCGAAAAGAACCCCGGCGAGGGGAGUGAAAAAGAACCUGAAACCGUGUACGUACAAGCAGUGGGAGCACGCUUAGGCGUGUGACUGCGUACCUUUUGUAUAAUGGGUCAGCGACUUAUAUUCUGUAGCAAGGUUAACCGAAUAGGGGAGCCGAAGGGAAACCGAGUCUUAACUGGGCGUUAAGUUGCAGGGUAUAGACCCGAAACCCGGUGAUCUAGCCAUGGGCAGGUUGAAGGUUGGGUAACACUAACUGGAGGACCGAACCGACUAAUGUUGAAAAAUUAGCGGAUGACUUGUGGCUGGGGGUGAAAGGCCAAUCAAACCGGGAGAUAGCUGGUUCUCCCCGAAAGCUAUUUAGGUAGCGCCUCGUGAAUUCAUCUCCGGGGGUAGAGCACUGUUUCGGCAAGGGGGUCAUCCCGACUUACCAACCCGAUGCAAACUGCGAAUACCGGAGAAUGUUAUCACGGGAGACACACGGCGGGUGCUAACGUCCGUCGUGAAGAGGGAAACAACCCAGACCGCCAGCUAAGGUCCCAAAGUCAUGGUUAAGUGGGAAACGAUGUGGGAAGGCCCAGACAGCCAGGAUGUUGGCUUAGAAGCAGCCAUCAUUUAAAGAAAGCGUAAUAGCUCACUGGUCGAGUCGGCCUGCGCGGAAGAUGUAACGGGGCUAAACCAUGCACCGAAGCUGCGGCAGCGACGCUGAUGCGUUGUUGGGUAGGGGAGCGUUCUGUAAGCCUGUGAAGGUGUGCUGUGAGGCAUGCUGGAGGUAUCAGAAGUGCGAAUGCUGACAUAAGUAACGAUAAAGCGGGUGAAAAGCCCGCUCGCCGGAAGACCAAGGGUUCCUGUCCAACGUUAAUCGGGGCAGGGUGAGUCGACCCCUAAGGCGAGGCCGAAAGGCGUAGUCGAUGGGAAACAGGUUAAUAUUCCUGUACUUGGUGUUACUGCGAAGGGGGGACGGAGAAGGCUAUGUUGGCCGGGCGACGGUUGUCCCGGUUUAAGCGUGUAGGCUGGUUUUCCAGGCAAAUCCGGAAAAUCAAGGCUGAGGCGUGAUGACGAGGCACUACGGUGCUGAAGCAACAAAUGCCCUGCUUCCAGGAAAAGCCUCUAAGCAUCAGGUAACAUCAAAUCGUACCCCAAACCGACACAGGUGGUCAGGUAGAGAAUACCAAGGCGCUUGAGAGAACUCGGGUGAAGGAACUAGGCAAAAUGGUGCCGUAACUUCGGGAGAAGGCACGCUGAUAUGUAGGUGAAGUCCCUCGCGGAUGGAGCUGAAAUCAGUCGAAGAUACCAGCUGGCUGCAACUGUUUAUUAAAAACACAGCACUGUGCAAACACGAAAGUGGACGUAUACGGUGUGACGCCUGCCCGGUGCCGGAAGGUUAAUUGAUGGGGUCAGCGCAAGCGAAGCUCUUGAUCGAAGCCCCGGUAAACGGCGGCCGUAACUAUAACGGUCCUAAGGUAGCGAAAUUCCUUGUCGGGUAAGUUCCGACCUGCACGAAUGGCGUAAUGAUGGCCAGGCUGUCUCCACCCGAGACUCAGUGAAAUUGAACUCGCUGUGAAGAUGCAGUGUACCCGCGGCAAGACGGAAAGACCCCGUGAACCUUUACUAUAGCUUGACACUGAACAUUGAGCCUUGAUGUGUAGGAUAGGUGGGAGGCUUUGAAGUGUGGACGCCAGUCUGCAUGGAGCCGGCCUUGAAAUACCACCCUUUAAUGUUUGAUGUUCUAACGUUGACCCGUGAUCCGGGUUGCGGACAGUGUCUGGUGGGUAGUUUGACUGGGGCGGUCUCCUCCUAAAGAGUAACGGAGGAGCACGAAGGUUGGCUAAUCCUGGUCGGACAUCAGGAGGUUAGUGCAAUGGCAUAAGCCAGCUUGACUGCGAGCGUGACGGCGCGAGCAGGUGCGAAAGCAGGUCAUAGUGAUCCGGUGGUUCUGAAUGGAAGGGCCAUCGCUCAACGGAUAAAAGGUACUCCGGGGAUAACAGGCUGAUACCGCCCAAGAGUUCAUAUCGACGGCGGUGUUUGGCACCUCGAUGUCGGCUCAUCACAUCCUGGGGCUGAAGUAGGUCCCAAGGGUAUGGCUGUUCGCCAUUUAAAGUGGUACGCGAGCUGGGUUUAGAACGUCGUGAGACAGUUCGGUCCCUAUCUGCCGUGGGCGCUGGAGAACUGAGGGGGGCUGCUCCUAGUACGAGAGGACCGGAGUGGACGCAUCACUGGUGUUCGGGUUGUCAUGCCAAUGGCACUGCCCGGUAGCUAAAUGCGGAAGAGAUAAGUGCUGAAAGCAUCUAAGCACGAAACUUGCCCCGAGAUGAGUUCUCCCUGACUCCUUGA
Molecule: ribosomal RNA, 2787 nt
Filed under: Escherichia coli
Lineage: Bacteria; Pseudomonadati; Pseudomonadota; Gammaproteobacteria; Enterobacterales; Enterobacteriaceae
Description: bacterial LSU rRNA
Rfam family: Bacterial large subunit ribosomal RNA
Source: RNAcentral